GUCGACGAAAAUAAUCCAUAACCAAUCUGUAGAUGAAAAUUUGGGUGAGUUUAUUCUGAGCUUAAAUCUUAGGAUUAUAACCCGGGAGAGUCUUUUCACAAAGGAACAGAGCACUCCAAAGAAGUGGGGGUAUAAGGGUGGUUAUAUACCCUCAAAGAGGGUGUUUCACAUAUGAUUGAAAUGUCCCUCCCACAAUAGUCACAAGAUUGCCCUGUCGGCACAGCACUUGAUGGACACAGCAGGUAGUGGGUCUGCUAUCUUGGUGGGCGUAGCAGGAGGCAAGUCUAUUGUCUCCAGCUGGGUGGUCACAGGUGAGAGCAGCAAUCAGCUUCUAGCCUAAGGAAAGAUACUUAAUCCUUAAGGAGACACCAACUUUGGGAGGGGGAGGGAAGUUGCACCUUUAUCUCAAGGGCCUUUUGCUCUUGCCAUAGGGAAUCUCUAAAGCAGAUAUACAAUGCAUGCUCAAUGGCCUCGGUCAGGCCCUUUUGGAAAGACAAGGUCAGGCCGAAUUAGGUUUACACCAAAUGGCUUCCUCAUAUAUUCCAAUAUAUCCUAUUACUUGCCAUUUUUGUUUGUUUAUCUAUUUCCCUGUGUCUUGAACCCCAUUUUUGCUCACUUUUCCCAGAGUUUUAUUUUAUCACUUGUCCUCUGUAGUUUAUUCAUGCAAUAUCCAUUGGUAUUUUUCCUCUGUAUGCUUAGAUUUUACAUGUCCUAAAAAACAAACAAACAAAUAGAAAAACACCUUCCUUACCCCUUCUAGCUAUUGUACUAACUCUGUCUUUCAUUUCUGAGGAAAUUUCUGUAAUCAGAUUCUCUCUGUAUACUUUUAACUUGAAUUUUUUCCUCACCUACUUUACCAUUUGGCAGCCGGUGAUCAGCCAUCGAAAUGAUGCGGGGUCGGUGAGCCGGGGAGUCGAAAGAAAGAUUUCUUCGACUCUCAAGAUCUGGCAGUAGUGCUCUUUUAUUUAGAGAAUAGUGUAGCAUGGGGACAGGACCCAUGGGCAGUCAGAGCUUCUGCUGCUGCUUCUGCUGCCCCCGCUGGCAUGGGGACAGGACCCACGGGCAGGCAGAGCUGGUGCCUGGGGACAAUACCCACGGGCAGUCAGAGCUCCUGCUGCUGCCCGGAGUUGAGGGUUAGGGCUAAAUUUAAGGCAUAGGUAUGUGAGUCAUCUCUUUACAAGACAAAGAAAAAAAAGUUAAAAUGGUACCAGUGCCAGUAGGGUCCGGCCAUUGGGCAGUCCCACAACUUUUAGAUAAGAAUCAAACCGGAUUGAGUAAAUGGCAGAAGUCACAGCUCAAAUAUUAUCUUCAGCUAAAGACAAAGGAGGAUUUUGGGGUGGGGGGUCAGUUACAUGAGUUUGCCAGACAGUAAACAACUUAAGUUCUUGCCUUCCCCAUUAAGAGUUUCCAGAGAUAAGGCCAUACCCCCUUCCUCCUGGCGCAGAGAGGGAGGCAUGGAGAUUUCCUUCACAAAUGCAACUGUCUCUGAUCAAAGGUCAAGCAAAUUCCACUCCUCGGAGCCUGGUUCUCAUCUGCAGUUUUAAAAUUAAACAGCCUAAAAAUCCUCAUCAUAAACUGUUUUAAAAUUAAGCAGCCUAAAAAUCCUCAUCAACACUACUAAUGAAACCACACUUUCAAGACCAUCAACAACCUCUUAAUGAACAAACCCAACAACCUUUCUUAGUUUACCUUUUCCCUGACUGCCCUCUACUACUUAGCAUUUAACUAUUUUUUCCCUCUUUAUCUCUUUUACCUCAUUUGUAGGACAUUGCCCUCAAUGGUGGGCAGAUCCUUUCCCUAACUUUAUGACUAAUCUUUCUAGUCUUUUAUUGGUUCCCUGAUAGUCCAUCUCUAUGGCUUCUCAAGUUUUUCUCCAUGACCUUUUAUUGUCAUUCAUCCUCUACACAUUCUCCAUUGUUAAUUUUCUCUAUUGCUGUUGCUUCUACCUCAGGACUCAUUUCUGUGGAAACAGAUCUCACAGUCCCAAUGCCCUUCCCACACUUCAGCCAAUGAUUCAUUACCACCAUAUUUUCCCAAAUUCUACAUAUCUAGAAUCAAACUCACUAUCUUCACUCAAAUGUCUCCACCUCCUACAUGCUUUUGCUUGUCGUGGCUCCAGAAUAUUUCCAGUUCCCCAUUUAUUAAGUGUAUUCAUUCAAUAAAUACUUAUUAAGCUCAUAAUGUGUCAGUUUAAGGAUCCGAGCAAAAAACCAAAAACAUUCAAAAUGUUUUAAACAGAGGAAACAAUACAGGAAAUUGGUUACACAGGUGAGGGAAAGACUGAGAAGCCAAACAGAGGAUGGUGAGGUAACACAUAGAUUAGCAAUAGCAAAUCUCGCCUAGAAAAAUGAGGAGAGGAGAUUUUGACAGAAGCUCAAGGUUUAAGUUCACCAGAAGAAGCUGCAACCGUGGAAGAAGAUAUAGCAACAGAAAAGAUGCAGCUGCUGCCAGAGAUGCUGCUGAAGGCAAGAAGAAAGAAUGAGAAAUGCCCUGGAUUCUCACUUCUUCUUCUUCUUCAGUCUCCUCUAGUGACUCCUACUGGUCAAACCAAUCCAGAAGCCAGUAGUCAUUAUGGAAAAUGCAAGCCAAAGAAAUCACCCCUCCCCUCACAGCCCCAGGGGAGAGUAUACAGAGCAGAGUCAGAGAAGAGUGAAGAAUGGAUCUGAGAGCAAAAUAGACCAAGACAGAUCACUCUGCACCCAAUCUUACCCUCCUUCCGUAUUUUACUUUCAUGCAAUACUGUCAAGCUUCCACCUAAUAUGGUACAACUAUUCUUUGUAGAAAGUUCUUCUCAUAUUCUCCUCACAAAAAGGAGACGCAAAGUCCCGCCAGUCAUUUUUGUCUCAGUAAUUCAGGAACUCCAGGUGAUGCGCAAUCAUCCACAUCUGUUUAGGGUAUGGCUUUUCAUUGGUCUAGUGAUUUAUGAACUAAACCAUGAAGUUAAGCACCACCAACUUCCCUUUACAAAAAAGUAGAAAAAGAAAAAGGAGAGGGUAAUAAAUAAUAUUCAUAGCUCCUGCUGUCCCCAUUUCUGUAACUGGUGCCAAGACCAUAGCUAAUAUUUUUAAAAAUAGCAGUUUUAUUGAGAUAUAAUUCACACGUUAUACGAUUCACCCAUUAGAGACAAUUCACUGGUUUUUAGUAUAUUCGCAGCGAGGUACAACUGUCAGCACAAUCAGUUUCAGAACAUUUUCAUCACCCCCAAAAGAAACCCUGAUUUCAUUAACAGUCACCCCGUUUCCUUCCACCUCUUGAUGAAGAUCUCCUAUUUCUUUGAAGAGCAAUUCAAGACCCGGUCACCCCAGCUUUCAGGCACUACUCCUGCCUCUGAAAUUGGAAACAUUUACUGUCUGAAUACUCAUUUGGAUUCCUGUUAGUGCUAUUCAUCUUUUUAUGUAUAUGUUCUGUCUCCCCAAUUAGAUUAUAAGUCUCUUAAGAACAAGACCUUCGUCUUGAUUGAAGAGAUGGAAAACAUAUUUAGAAUUGUAGCUGCCUCAUUGAAUUUAAUCCUCUUUUAUUUGUACUUUGAUUAACUCAUAUUACUGAGAACUUUUCCCCUAACAGAGAUCUUUUUCCUUAAUCAUUUCCCCCAAGAAUAUAAUUCAAAACUGAUGGAAUAGAUUUAACCAGCAAAUUUAAGGAGUUUGUUAAAACAUGAAAAUGGAAGUGAUGUGAAAAACACAUCAGAAAUGAUUUGUGAUUCUCAUUUAUUGCCAAUAUGCGUUUAAGAUGUGCUGGGAAUGCUAGCGUUUCUUUUAUUCCACGUUACAACAGUGUCCCUUCGCUGUGGUAUAAAACAAAGGGUGACACUAACCAAUAGAGGGAAUAAAAUAUAUUCAUUUCCUCUAAUACACGUUACAUUUACAAAUCAAACAUGGUGUUAGAUGUAGUGCGCUUGUUAAUCAAUUCUUUCAAACGUAUAAAUAUUUAUACGUGGUUUCAAAUAGAUGCAAAGAUACCGUAAGUCUGUUUCAUGGAAUACUUGAAUAAUUUACACUUUUUAACAAUUUUCUUAUUUUUUUUAUAAAUAUCAGAACUUUGGGUAAGUAAACUUCCUACCUGUACCUGCCUAUCCUUUUCUAACCUUCCGCUUCCUUUCCUUCUUUCAUUCUUUCCUUUUCCUUCCUCUGUUCACAGGUUCACAAGUCACAAGUCGCUUUCCAUCUUCUGUUCUUCUUCCCUCUUAUUUCUUCCAUUUCCCUUAAGAAGACAUUGAUAAAACUUAUAUUUGUUAGGAACAAUCUUGAAAAGCCAAGAAAAUUAAAUGUGGAAGAGGAAGUAAGUCCAUAUAAAAUUAGUAUCAAGUUCUUCUCAUUCACAUCUUAUGGUCACCACUAAAAUAGUAACAAGUCAUAUAUCCUGUUUUAUAUUAAUCUCUGAAAUAGAUCCUAACCUUGAAUAGUAUUUUGAAAUACAUAAAAACUUGCAAAUUAGACAUCAGUUAACAUUUCUACAGUACUUAGUUUGUGUCUAGAAUUGUGUAACUGUUGGGGAUGUUUCAUAAUCCAGUAGAGAAAGAUUUGUAAAUGAAAGAACUACAAGGCAGUGAGAAGAAGUAUAAAGUACCGUGGGAGCAUUGAACAUGGUCGUUCAUUUCACAGGUCUUUCUGAAUGCCAUGUUUGUGCCAGGUACUAUUCCAGGUGCUGGGGAUACAAAGUACUUUCCCUCAAGCGUGUCACAGUUAAGACGAAAUUACACCACACUAAGGUAAUGUACAGUUAAAGGUGAACACUGAAUGCAAUGGAAACCAGCGGAUGGAAUUGAGACAGAGAGGGAGAUUUCAGGAGUGUUAGGAAAACUAUUGAAAAGGUUUGCUCCAGAGUUGAAUCUUUAAUGAUGAGUAGGAGUAGAAUAUACUCCACCUGAUAAGAAAAUAAGUUGUGCAGAGAUGGGAAGGAUAAGAAGAAAGCAUGCCAUGCAGAAAGGAUGGCACAUACCUUCACAGAGAAGUAAACAGUAUGAUGCCUUAAAGGACUAGAAAUUGGCAUCUCUGAAUUUCAAGGUGCUCUUGAGAAAUUUGCAGGAGCUAAGACUCUAAGGGAGACUGAGAAACAAGAAAGAAGCACCAUGCUAAGUGAUGCGGGGUCGGUGAGCCGAGGAGUCGAAAGAAAGAUUUCUUAGACUCUCAAGAUCUGGCAGUAGUGCUCUUUUAUUUAGAGAAUAGUGUGGAAUAGCAUGGGGACAGGACCCAUGGGCAGUCAGAGCUUCUGCUGCCCCCGCUGGUACGGGGACAGAGCCCAUGGGCAGGCAGAGCUGGUGCGUGGGGACAGGACCCACGGGCAGUCAGAGCUCCUGCUGCUGCCCCGACUUGAGGGUUAGGACUAAAUUUAAGGCAUAGGUAUGUGAGUCAUCUCUUUACAAGACAAAGAAUAUGUAAAAAAGUUAAAAUGGUAGAUAAGAAUCAAACCGGAUUGAGUAAAUGGCAGAAGUCACCGCUUGAAUUUUAUCCUCAGCUAAAGACAAAGGAGGAUUUGUGGGGGGGAGGGUCAGUCACAUGAGGUUGCCAGACAGUAACCAACUUAAGUUCUUGCCUCUGGCAUUGACCAAGAGCCUCUAGAGAUAAGACCAUCCCCCCCUCUUCCUGGCACAGAGAGGGAGGCAUCUUCACAGAUAGAGGUUUCCCUUAGAAAUGUAAAUGUUUCCCAACAAAGAGGCAAACAAAUUCCACUCCUUGGAGCCUGAAUCUCAUCUGUAGUUUUAAAACUAACCAGCCUAAAAAUCCUCAUCAUAAGCCAUUUUAAAAUUAAGCAGCCUAAAAAUCCUCAUCACUAAGGACCUC
RNAcentral lists this long non-coding RNA (5780 nucleotides) under Equus caballus (horse). Its description in RNAcentral is "lncRNA (ENSECAG00000051253.1)". The record is from RNAcentral. Lineage: Eukaryota; Metazoa; Chordata; Mammalia; Perissodactyla; Equidae.